Small nuclear RNA from Stegostoma tigrinum, 107 nucleotides. The record is from RefSeq and is a predicted model, not a curated record. Lineage: Eukaryota; Metazoa; Chordata; Chondrichthyes; Orectolobiformes; Stegostomatidae.
GUGCUCACUUCAGCAGCACAUAUACAAAAAUUGGAAUGAUACAGAGAAGAUUAGCAUGGCCUCUGCACAAAGUUGACACGUAAAUUCAUGAAGCAUUCCAUAUUUUU